AAUAGAACUCCAGUGUAGUAAGCCAUAACUAUGAACAAUAUCAUGUCCCAAAUAAAUAAUCUAAUUUGUAGAUCUGCAAUUGGUCACAUGAUGGUCCGAACAUUAUUUGUAUGGCUCUAUUUGUUGACAGCAAAUACCGCUAAUAAUUAUCUUGGAUAAAAUACCUCGUUUAGUAAACGAGGCAAUUUUACCCAGCCUCGUUCUGAACAAAAUACCUCGUUCCAAAAACAGGGCAAUUAAAAAAAAACACGUUUUGGAACUCCAGAGAAACGAGGUAUUUUUUUUACCUCGUUACAACGAGGCAAAAUCGGGGCAAAAAUUUUGACACGUUUUUGCCUCGUUUGGACAGAAAUGCCGAACGAGGCAUUCUGAGGUUUAUAGUGUAUACGCAGGUAGAAGCUGGUACCUCCCGUGGCAAGUCCAAGUUGUUUGACAACCAAGGGUUUAGUUAUACAAUUAAGACAGAGAAGAAAACUACGAUUUGGAGGUGUUCCAAAAGAAGCGGACCAACACGAUGUCCGGCAACAGUAAUCCAAGAUGGUGAUACAUACCAACCAGGCUUAAAGAACCAUCUUCACCCAGCAGAACCCGGUAUACACACGGCUACCAAGAUAAAAGUUACAGCAAAGCAUGAAGUCAAAGGAAAUGUUUUUACCAAGUCAUGUUCCUCAAUAGCGGAGAGAGUUUUAUCCAGUGUCGGUUCUGCAGAAGAACCCAUUCAUAGCAGACCACCCAUGGCAGCACUUGUAAGGUCGCUACAAAGAACCCGACAGACUCUGCGACCAAAAGAUCCCACUGACGUGUCGUCAAGCCUUGGCGAAAAUUUCAUCGAUCAUAGUGCACCGGGAUUUUAUCAAAAAAGAGUAAAAGUUGGGGAAAGGCGCCAUCACAUUUUUUGUACUGAUAGACAGAUGCAACUACUCGCACGCGCCAAAACUUGGUAUAUGGAUGCAACUUUUCGGGUGGUGAACAAGCCAUGGUCUCAGCUGUUUUCCAUCCACGCCUUCAUUAAGACUGGAGAGACCACCCGACAGUUACCGUUGGUGUUUUGUGUAAUGUCGGGUAAAAGCCAAGACGACUAUUAUAAGGUCAUUUUCAAAUAAAUUCAUCAGCAUAUUAUUCGUUUUAAAUAAAUAUAAAACUUUUAUGAGAAACGAUGAUUAUCAAAGAACCUCAGUGAUGAUAUGUGACUCUUUCCACCUUCCAGCAAUAAUUAUUGAGAAUUUACCAAGGACUCCAUUGGCAUUGAAUCGAAGAAAAACAGUUUCAAUAUUGGAUGUAUAUGCAAAUCACCCAGAAAAAGAUCAUGUAAUAACAAAAGAAAUUAUAAAAGAAAAAAAUGGAAGAAGAAAUGGCUGGAAAAAAUGAUGAUAGAGCAGCUUUUUCUUGUUACCCACCUCGGAAGAUCAAGUUGGAAAGGGCUAUUGAUAUUGUGGAGACGUUUUCUCACAGAUCUUGCUUAUCAGACAAAGACUAUGCUGGAACACCAUUGAAAGAGUAUUUGCUGUAUGAUAACAACAAGAAAACCCAAUCAUCAAUUUAUUUUAUACUUCUGGGAAAGAAUGCAUUUGACCCAAUUUUUAAAUAUUUAUUUUUUGUUAUUAAUGUUAAAUUUUCUUCCAAAACACAAUUAGAUUUUAAUUCUCUUCAGAAAUGUAUGUAUAAUAUAGCAAGUAAAGUGGCAUAUAAAUCACUUAGAAUUUGGUCAGAAAUCAUAAAGUAUUUAAUAGGCAUUACUAGAAACCAAAUGUAGAUCAAAUACA
Molecule: long non-coding RNA, 1763 nt
Organism: Patella vulgata (common limpet)
Lineage: Eukaryota; Metazoa; Mollusca; Gastropoda; Patellidae
Exons: 9
Source: RefSeq, a predicted model, not a curated record